Piliocolobus tephrosceles (Ugandan red Colobus) is the source of this 407-nucleotide long non-coding RNA. RefSeq lists it as uncharacterized. NCBI's taxonomy places the organism in Eukaryota, Metazoa, Chordata, Mammalia, Primates, Cercopithecidae. The transcript is spliced from 2 exons. The record is from RefSeq and is a predicted model, not a curated record.
AUUUUGUUUAUUUUUACGAACAGAUUAAAACAUAUUUAAUUUCAUUUAAAUCACUUUUAUUUAUUUUUAUAACAUUUUAUAUUUUGCAUAUUUUUAUUUUUUUAAAAAUUAAUUUUAGUAACAACUAUAUCUCCCUGUUGUAACAAACAUAAGUUACAAGAAUUAUUUUAAGGCCUACAAUCAUACUUUUCAUCUUUUUAUUUUAAAAAAACAAAAAAAUGGUUAAUAAAAUAUUUAGUAAAAGCUUUUUUAAAAAGGGGGAAGUAAAAAAAACUGAAAAAAAUGCAGAAAAAACAGAAAGCAAAGUAGAUGUAAAAUUCACUGAGUCCACGGAAGCUGAGAGUGAGUCGACGUCAUCUGUGGCUGUAACAAAAAAAGAAAUAAACAACAAGAAUAAGAAAACAAAA